AGCAGCCGCGGUAAUUCCAGCUCCAAUAGCGUAUAUUAAAGUUGUUGCAGUUAGAAAGCUCGUAGUUGAAUUUCGGGGUCAAUAAGUUGGUCGUGCCAAUGGUAUGCACUGGCUUUAUUGAUUCCUACCUCUUGACGAACUGUGAUGCCAUUAAUUUGGUGUCGCAAGGAAUCAGGACUGUUACCUUGAAAAAAUUAGAGUGUUUAAAGCAGGCUUACGCUUGAAUACAUUAGCAUGGAAUAAUGAAAUAGGACGUUUGAACCUAUUUUGUUGGUUUUUAGGAUCGACGUAAUGAUUAAUAGGGAUAGUUGGGGGCAUUAGUAUUCAAUUGUCAGAGGUGAAAUUCUUGGAUUUAUUGAAGACUAACUACUGCGAAAGCAUUUGCCAAGGAUGUUUUCAUUAAUCAAGAACGAAAGUUAGGGGAUCGAAGACGAUCAGAUACCGUCGUAGUCUUAACCAUAAACUAUGCCGACUAGGGAUCGGAUGAUGUUAAUUUUUAAUGA
This 503-nucleotide ribosomal RNA is filed under the name uncultured Glomus. RNAcentral's name for it is "SSU rRNA". It matches the Rfam family "Eukaryotic small subunit ribosomal RNA", at positions 569 to 1074 of the family's 1831-position model. The record is from RNAcentral. Lineage: Eukaryota; Fungi; Glomeromycota; Glomeromycetes; Glomerales; Glomeraceae.